CUUGCCUACGGGGGGCAGCAGUGAGGAAUAUUGGUCAAUGGGCGGGAGCCUGAACCAGCCAAGUCGCGUGAGGGAAGACGGUCCUAUGGAUUGUAAACCUCUUUAGGCGGGGAGCAAUGCCGGGCACGCGUGCCCGGAGGGCGAGUACCCGCAGAAUAAGCAUCGGCUAACUCCGUGCCAGCAGCCGCGGCAAUACGGAGGGGGCAAGCGUUAUCCGGAUUCACUGGGCGUAAAGGGAGCGCAGG
RNAcentral lists this ribosomal RNA (245 nucleotides) under uncultured bacterium. RNAcentral's name for it is "partial 16S ribosomal RNA". It matches the Rfam family "Bacterial small subunit ribosomal RNA", at positions 334 to 575 of the family's 1533-position model. The record is from RNAcentral.